UGUUAAAACUUCCAUCCCUUUAUACUUUUAAAAACUAGCGUGGCUGACAAAAUAAUCAGAUAAUGAUACAUGUGACGUGCUACAUGCUGACGUACUUGGACUAGCUUUUAAUAGUGAAAAUGGAUAAAAUUUUUAGUA
Non-coding RNA from Gossypium arboreum, 138 nucleotides. The record is from Rfam. Lineage: Eukaryota; Viridiplantae; Streptophyta; Magnoliopsida; Malvales; Malvaceae.